CAUUCAGGAACACCAUGGGGAAGAACUGGCCACCUGGUGCGAACCAAGCUGGGUAGUGUGCAUACCACAGCAAAGUGUUCUAGAUGAUAUGACUCUUACUCUGCCUCUUAUAGAGGCACAUGCUUUGAAGCAACAUGGGACAUCAGGGAGUCAGUAUGUAAGUGCCCUCUAUGGAGACAGCCUCAUCUAUGAAAUCACGGGGGAAGAGCCAAGGGUCAUCAUCUCCAAUGAAGAAGAAGGGCCAGAUGUUGUCGUCUCCAAGGCAACAGUUCUCACGGAAUAUCUGGUGACCU
Molecule: long non-coding RNA, 293 nt
Organism: Penaeus indicus
Lineage: Eukaryota; Metazoa; Arthropoda; Malacostraca; Decapoda; Penaeidae
Exons: 3
Source: RefSeq, a predicted model, not a curated record